AAAACAUGUUCUUUUGUUUAUAUAAAAGAUUUGGCCUGCUCAAUGAUAAUAUUAAAUAGCUGCAGUAUUUUGACUGUACAAAGGUAGCAUAAUCAUUUGUCUUUUAAUUGAGGACUAGUAUGAAAGGUUGGAUGAAAAAUAUACUUUCUUUAUAUUAAAAUAUAACUUAAUUUUUAAGUUAAAAAGCUUAAAUAAUAUUAUAAGACGAGAAGACCCUAUAGAACUUUAUAUAAAAUUGUAUAUAUUUAUUUUGUUUAUUAAAUUAUAUAUAUAAUUAUAUAUUUUGUUGGGGUGACAAAUAAAAUAUUAACUUUAUUUAUUAUUUUCAUUUUUUUAUGAAAUUUUGAUCCAUUUGUUUAUGAUUAUAAGAUUAAGUUACCUUAGGGAUAACAGCGUUAUUAUUUUGGAGAGUUCUUAUCGAUAAAAUAGUUUGCGACCUCGAUGUUGGAUUAAAAUAAUUGGUAGGUGUAGAUUUUUAUCAUAUAGGUCUGUUCGACCUUUAAAAUUUUACA
RNAcentral lists this ribosomal RNA (512 nucleotides) under Caulotops sp. S432. RNAcentral's name for it is "partial 16S ribosomal RNA". The stretch from base 386 to 512 matches the Rfam family "Bacterial large subunit ribosomal RNA", at positions 2473 to 2600 of the family's 2925-position model. The record is from RNAcentral. Lineage: Eukaryota; Metazoa; Arthropoda; Insecta; Hemiptera; Miridae.